Molecule: ribosomal RNA, 604 nt
Filed under: uncultured bacterium
Lineage: Bacteria
Description: bacterial SSU rRNA
Rfam family: Bacterial small subunit ribosomal RNA
Source: RNAcentral
ACACAUGCAAGUCGAGGGGCAGCGCGGGAUAGCAAUAUCCUGGCGGCGACCGGCGGAAGGGUGCGUAACGCGUGAGCGACAUGCCCGUUGCCCGGGGACAACCGGUGGAAACGCCGACUAAUCCCCGAUGGGAUACGAUGCUUCAUGGCAUUGUAUUGAAAGUUACGGCGGCGACGGAUUGGCUCGCGUCCGAUUAGCUUGUUGGCGGGGUAACGGCCCACCAAGGCUACGAUCGGUAGGGGUUCUGAGAGGAAGGCCCCCCACAAUGGGACUGAGACACGGCCCAUACUCCUACGGGAGGCAGCAGUGAGGAAUAUUGGUCAAUGGGCGGAAGCCUGAACCAGCCAUGCCGCGUGCGGGAAGGAGGCCCUAUGGGCUGUGAACCGCUUUUGCCUGGGGGCAAUAAGGGCGUCGCGCACGUCCGAUGAGAGUACCAGGCGAAUAAGCAUCGGCUAACUCCGUGCCAGCAGCCGCGGUAAUACGGGGGAUGCGAGCGUUAUCCGGAUUCAUUGGGUUUAAAGGGUGCGUAGGCUGUGCGUCAAGUCGGGGGUGAAAUUCCGGUGCUCAACACCGGGGCUGCCCUUGAUACUGUCGCGCUGGAGUG